Molecule: ribosomal RNA, 730 nt
Filed under: Priestia aryabhattai
Lineage: Bacteria; Bacillati; Bacillota; Bacilli; Caryophanales; Bacillaceae
Description: bacterial SSU rRNA
Rfam family: Bacterial small subunit ribosomal RNA
Source: RNAcentral
UUGGGCGUAAGCGCGCGCAGGCGGUUUCUUAAGUCUGAUGUGAAAGCCCACGGCUCAACCGUGGAGGGGCAUUGGAAACUGGGGAACUUGAGUGCAGAAGAGAAAAGCGGAAUUCCACGUGUAGCGGUGAAAUGCGUAGAGAUGUGGAGGAACACCAGUGGCGAAGGCGGCUUUCUGGUCUGUAACUGACGCUGAGGCGCGAAAGCGUGGGGAGCAAACAGGAUUAGAUACCCUGGUAGUCCACGCCGUAAACGAUGAGUGCUAAGUGUUAGAGGGUUUCCGCCCUAUAGUGCUGCAGCUAACGCAUUAAGCACUCCGCCUGGGGAGAACGGUCGCAAGACUGAAACUCAAAGGAAUUGACGGGGGCCCGCACAAGCGGUGGAGCAUGUGGUUUAAUUCAAACCAACGCAAACAACCUUACCAGGUCUUGACAUCCUCUGAGAACUCUAGAGAUAUAGCGUUCCCCUUCGGGGGACAGAGCGACAGGUGGUGCAUGGUUGUCGUCAGCUCGUGUCGUGAGAUGUUGGGUUAAGUCCCGCAACGAGCGCAACUCUUGAUCUUAGUUGCCAGCAUUUAUUUGGGCACUCUGCCGUGACUGCCGGUGACAAACCGGAGGAUGGUGGGGAUGACGUCCAAUCAUCAUGCCUCUUAUGACCUGGGCUACACACGUGCUACAAUGGAUGGUACAUAGGGCUGCAAGACCGCGGAGUCACGCCAAUCCCAUAAAACC